Molecule: non-coding RNA, 21 nt
Filed under: Caenorhabditis elegans
Lineage: Eukaryota; Metazoa; Nematoda; Chromadorea; Rhabditida; Rhabditidae
Source: RNAcentral
UCAGUAUGUGGGUUGAUGUUU